UACCUCUGACAUGACUGAUGCA
This 22-nucleotide microRNA is filed under the name Oreochromis niloticus (Nile tilapia). RNAcentral describes it as "oni-miR-10736". Lineage: Eukaryota; Metazoa; Chordata; Actinopteri; Cichliformes; Cichlidae. The record is from miRBase by way of RNAcentral.